UGGGUAAUCUGCCCUCGGCACCGGGAUAGCCCGAGGAAACUCGGAUUAAUACCGGAUGGCCUCUCGCGCUCUCGAGCGCGAAAGAAAAGGUGGCUUCGGCUUCUGGCCGAGGAUGAGCCCGCGGCCGAUUAGCUUGUUGGUGAGGUAAUGGCUCACCAAGGCUACGAUCGGUAGCUGGUCUGAGAGGACGAUCAGCCACACGUGGGACUGAGACACGGCCCAGACUCCGUACGGG
RNAcentral lists this ribosomal RNA (235 nucleotides) under uncultured bacterium. Its description in RNAcentral is "partial 16S ribosomal RNA". It matches the Rfam family "Bacterial small subunit ribosomal RNA", at positions 118 to 345 of the family's 1533-position model. The record is from RNAcentral.